This 422-nucleotide ribosomal RNA is filed under the name uncultured bacterium. Its description in RNAcentral is "bacterial SSU rRNA". It matches the Rfam family "Bacterial small subunit ribosomal RNA", at positions 355 to 774 of the family's 1533-position model. The record is from RNAcentral.
UGAGGAAUAUUGGGCAAUGCCCGCAAGGGUGACCCAGCAACGCCGCGUGGAGGAUGAAUGUCGUAAGAUUGUAAACUCCUGUUAGAGGGGAAGAAUAGUACCGGUUGGACCGGUAUAUGACUGUACCCUCAGAGAAAGCCCCGGCUAACUACGUGCCAGCAGCCGCGGUAAUACGUAGGGAGCAAGCGUUGUUCGGAUUUACUGGGCGUAAAGGGCGCGUAGGCGGCGCGGUAAGUCACUUGUGAAAUCUCUGAGCUUAACUCAGAACGGCCAAGUGAUACUGCUGUGCUAGAGUGCGGAAGAGGCAACCGGAAUUCUUGGAGUAGCGGUGAAAUGCGUAGAUAUCAAGAGGAACACCUGAGGCGAAGGCGGGUUGCUGGGCCGACACUGACGCUGAUGCGCGAAAGCCAGGGGAGCAAACG